CUCACAUUUGUGUGAAUAUUUGAUUAUAUCUUUUCAUGUGACAACACUGAAGAAAUGACACUUUGCUACAAUGUAAAGUAGUGAGUGUACAGCUUGUGUAACAGUGUAAAUUUACCGUCCCCUCAAAAUAACUCAACACACAGACAUUAAUGUCUAAACCGCUGGCAACAAAAGUGAGUACACCCCUAAGUGAAAAUGUUCAAACUUCCAGUGACCAGUAUGAGGGAGUGUGAGAGCAAUGGCACCAAAUUUAACACACCUGCUCCCCAUUCACACAUUUUCACUUAGGGGUGUACUCACUUUUGUGAACCACCUCAACUGGCUCCUUUCAACGCAAAGGAGCAACGGCUCUAGUCUGAGUUCCUCUCGGAUAACCGAGCUUCUCACCCUAUCUCUAAGGGAGAGGCCACCCACCUGAGAAAACCCAUUUCGGCUGCUUGUACCCGCGAUCUAAUUCUUUCGGUCACUAGGGUAAAAUCUUUCUUUUCUUUUUUUUUUUAAAUCAGACAUUACAUCCUAGGCAAAUGUUUAUUUUAAUAUUUACAAAUAUAUAGCUAUAAUUGCAUCAGUCUUCACAAUGUUUGACAUUCAGUACGUUUACAUGGACAACAGUAUUCAGAUAUUAACCCGAUAAAGACGAUACUCUGAUUAAGAAACCAGCAUGUAAACAGUGAUUAUUGAUGACCUUUAUCUGACUAAGGUCAUACUCGGAGUAAACAAAUAUCGAAUUGAUACAUGUGGAGUAUUCCUGUUUUAGUCGCAUUAUCGACGUGCAUUAUUGACUACAUUUACGUGUACAGCAGUGAUCUAAUUUUUGACAUUAUUCUGAUUAAUACAAUACUGUGAUUAAGGUGUUUACAUGAGUCGCUUUUAGAAUACUCCUUUCAUGUUCCUGUUUUACGUGUUAUAGAACAGAGAUCGAUUAAGGGCACACAUCAUUGCAUCCCCACACCACCCCGUCUGACGUCCCUCCAGAAUUUCACGUAUCAACAUACAGUUGGUCUUCGUUAUGGGACCAUAUACAGUUUUGGAUGUUUUUAAUUUUUAAUUUUACGAAAGCUUCAAGUGCAGUUAAUUAUGUCAUGCUGUACAUGCAAAUAGACAACUGCUUGAAGCCAUGGGCUGUGUCCCAAACCGCGUACUUGCGUGUAUUUCACUUACUAUAUAGUACGUAAGUACGUGGUUUGGGACGCAGCCACGCUCUCUUGUUUACCGUCAGACAGUUGAGUACGUGUGUGUACGUGUCCUGUUGCACAAUGCGGUGAAAAUUCACACACAAUGUUAAUGGUGUGAUUAAAGUGUGUACUUUGUACCUUAUACCUGUGUACCUUAGGUGUGUUUCUUCCACCACACUGAGAAGUUGUUGACCGCGACCGAUUUGGAAAACCGCUUCAAAGCAGAACUCAGCCCAGCAGUUUGCUGUAUAGGAGGCCAGUCCUGCAGUGAGGGAGAAGCGACGGUGACCUAAUCCUGAAUCCAGAUUUGGGACAGACACCUGACGGUCAGUUUUGUUUCCUUUGGGAGUCUGGAACUGCCUAGGAGUCAGGGGCUCCUUGUGAAACUGCAGUAAAUGUCAGGGACCUGUAAAGUAAAUGUUUACGAACCAUUCUUCUUUGCUACUUUUUAAGACAGUCAGAGACUUGAGUUUGGGUCUUAAGAGAGAAAUUGUAAGAAGAUGGGUAACAGCAUGAGUUCGCGCCAGGAACUUUGGGGAUUUGCAAAGCAAAUGCAGAUCAAAUAUGGGGACCAUUCAGUCCGUUAUCUAGAGAAGUUUAAUAAGUAUGGUCAUUUACCCAUUAGGGGAAGUUUUAAAAUAGAAAAGUUAGGAAAAAAGAAAAAGUUUCAGACUAAGAAGGCUAAAGAGAAAGUGGGGGUGGUCAAUUUUUAUGUUAAUGAAGACUGAAGGAGAGAUGAUAAAUAAGAAACGAGAGGAAAGUAAGUUGAAGAGGGAACACAUAGAAAGAAAAAAUGCUGGUCAUUAUCACGGUCCGCUUUAUUAGGAACACCUGUAAACGUGCACAUUCAUGCACAUAUCUAAUCAGCCAAUCAUGUGGCAGCAGCGCAGUGCAAAAAAUCAGGCCAACAGCUUAGGUAACUGCAUGAUAGUGCCGGUGUACAGGUGUUCCUAAUAAAGUAGACGGUGAGUGUAAGUGUGUGUAUAUGAGUGUGUCACCUGUAUUAUGUGUGUGAUCCAUUAACAGUGUCGUCUUGAUCAGACGUUCUCAUGCUUGGUGUGUAAACUGCAGCAUAAUGGAAUAGUGUGUGUCCUUACAGACUCCAGAUGUGUGUGUUUUCAUCCACUUGGACAAAGCCCUGUGUCUUCAGCAUCACACACCCUUCAUCCAGACUGUGGAGUCACAAAGUGUACAUACAUACAUACAUACAUAAAUACACAAUAGUUAUAGGUAUGAUAUCCAGACAGUAUAGAAGUGUGUGUGUGUGUGUGUGUGUGCAUGCGUGCGUGUGUGGAUUGCUCUUGAGUGUGUUCACCAAGGCACAGGUGGGUAGUUUGUGUUUUCUCUGUGCUUUUCCUUCACACUUUAUGACACAAUGUUGCAAAAUACACACAAAAUCGUGCUUAAUUCUGAAGCAAGUCAGUGAGGCCACAGGCUUAGUCCUAAACCUAGUGCGCGCACACACACACACACACACACACACACACACACACACAC
This is a long non-coding RNA of Ictalurus punctatus (channel catfish), 2672 nucleotides long. The record is from Ensembl. Lineage: Eukaryota; Metazoa; Chordata; Actinopteri; Siluriformes; Ictaluridae.